CGAAGCGUGCGAUUGGAUUGCACGUCUAAGCAGUAAGGCUGAGUAUUAGGCAAAUCCGGUACUCAUUAAGGCUGAGCUGUGAUGGGGAGAAGACAUUGUGUCUUCGAGUCGUUGAUUUCACACUGCCGAGAAAAGCCUCUAGAUAGAAAAUAGGUGCCCGUACCGCAAACCGACACAGGUAGUCAAGAUGAGAAUUCUAAGGUGAGCGAGCGAACUCUCGUUAAGGAACUCGGCAAAAUGACCCCGUAACUUCGGGAGAAGGGGUGCUCUUUAGGGUUAACGCCCAGAAGAGCCGCAGUGAAUAGGCCCAAGCGACUGUUUAUCAAAAACACAGGUCUCUGCUAAACCGUAAGGUGAUGUAUAGGGGCUGACGCCUGCCCGGUGCUGGAAGGUUAAGAGGAGUGGUUAGCUUCUGCGAAGCUACGAAUCGAAGCCCCAGUAAACGGCGGCCGUAACUAUAACGGUCCUAAGGUAGCGAAAUUCCUUGUCGGGUAAGUUCCGACCCGCACGAAAGGCGUAACGAUUUGGGCACUGUCUCAACGAGAGACUCGGUGAAAUCAUAGUACCUGUGAAGAUGCAGGUUACCCGCGACAGGACGGAAAGACCCCGUGGAGCUUUACUGUAGCCUGAUAUUGAAAUUCGGCACAGCUUGUACAGGAUAGGUAGGAGCCUUUGAAACGUGAGCGCUAGCUUACGUGGAGGCGCUGGUGGGAUACUACCCUAGCUGUGUUGGCUUUC
RNAcentral lists this ribosomal RNA (738 nucleotides) under Staphylococcus aureus. RNAcentral's name for it is "partial 23S ribosomal RNA". It matches the Rfam family "Bacterial large subunit ribosomal RNA", at positions 1487 to 2222 of the family's 2925-position model. Lineage: Bacteria; Bacillati; Bacillota; Bacilli; Caryophanales; Staphylococcaceae. The record is from RNAcentral.